RNAcentral lists this ribosomal RNA (346 nucleotides) under Salmonella enterica. RNAcentral describes it as "bacterial SSU rRNA". It matches the Rfam family "Bacterial small subunit ribosomal RNA", at positions 86 to 435 of the family's 1533-position model. Lineage: Bacteria; Pseudomonadati; Pseudomonadota; Gammaproteobacteria; Enterobacterales; Enterobacteriaceae. The record is from RNAcentral. RNAcentral also lists the same sequence under 1 other name.
CGCUGACGAGUGGCGGACGGGUGAGUAAUGUCUGGGAAACUGCCUGAUGGAGGGGGAUAACUACUGGAAACGGUGGCUAAUACCGCAUAACGUCGCAAGACCAAAGAGGGGGACCUUCGGGCCUCUUGCCAUCAGAUGUGCCCAGAUGGGAUUAGCUUGUUGGUGAGGUAACGGCUCACCAAGGCGACGAUCCCUAGCUGGUCUGAGAGGAUGACCAGCCACACUGGAACUGAGACACGGUCCAGACUCCUACGGGAGGCAGCAGUGGGGAAUAUUGCACAAUGGGCGCAAGCCUGAUGCAGCCAUGCCGCGUGUAUGAAGAAGGCCUUCGGGUUGUAAAGUACUU